UACGUAGGGGGCGAGCGUUGUUCGGAUUUACUGGGCGUAAAGGGCGCGUAGGCGGCCACGACAAGUCACUUGUGAAAUCUCCGGGCUUAACCCGGAAAGGUCAAGUGAUACUGUCGGGCUAGAGUGCAGAAGGGGCAACUGGAAUUCUCGGUGUAGCAGUGAAAUGCGUAGAUAUCGAGAGGAACACCUGCGGCGAAGGCGGGUUGCUGGGCUGACACUGACGCUGAGGCGCGAAAGCCAGGGGAGCGAACGGG
This 254-nucleotide ribosomal RNA is filed under the name uncultured bacterium. Its description in RNAcentral is "partial 16S ribosomal RNA". It matches the Rfam family "Bacterial small subunit ribosomal RNA", at positions 524 to 776 of the family's 1533-position model. The record is from RNAcentral.